AUGAGAGAAGUGUGUGAGAACCCAUCGAGUGUGAUGCACUUUGUCCUUGUGUGCAAGGAUGGUGAACCGAAAACUAACAACACUCACGAGCUACCUUUGGUGUUUCAAUCUCUUUUGCAGGAAUUUCAAGAUGUUUUCCCUGAUGAGCUACCUCCGGGUCUACCUCCUCUACGAGGCAUUGAGCAUCGAAUCGACCUCAUCCCUGGAGCGCCACUUCCAAACAAAGCUCCAUACCUUGUCAAUCCCGAAGAAACCAAGGAGAUUCAACGGCAAGUACAACAACUAAUCGACAAUGGUCAUGUACGUGAAAGCUUAAGCCCUUGUGUCGUUCCCGUCAUACUUGUGCCUAAGCCCGAUGGA
Molecule: ribosomal RNA, 360 nt
Filed under: Triticum aestivum (bread wheat)
Lineage: Eukaryota; Viridiplantae; Streptophyta; Magnoliopsida; Poales; Poaceae
Description: partial small subunit ribosomal RNA
Source: RNAcentral